Molecule: long non-coding RNA, 805 nt
Organism: Panthera uncia (snow leopard)
Lineage: Eukaryota; Metazoa; Chordata; Mammalia; Carnivora; Felidae
Exons: 3
Source: RefSeq, a predicted model, not a curated record
CUCUCUCCCUGGCAUCUCACCGCUGCGUCGGUGCAGAUCUGACUCAGGGGACUGGAGAAUCAAUCCUUCUGAAGAGGAAAGGUAUAAUCUUCUGGAUUUUCCACUCUCAUCUGUUUCUCUGAGGUUCCACACCCAGCAUGAAACGCAAUAUGGAGCUUAAACUCACCACGAUAUCAAGAGCUGAGUGAGAUCAAGGAUCAGAUUUUUUUCUCUGUGCAGUCAUCACAGAGCCUGCUCUGGAUCCUAUGCCCCUGUCUCUGCCCCACCCCCACAAGAUGUCUCUCUUUCUCUCUCUCAAAAUAAAUGAAUAAUCUUAAAAAAGUUAAAAGAAAGAAAUGCUCGUUCUAAAUCUCAACCAUGGAUGCUCUGCGAUGCACAGGUAUACAGCUUCCAAGUGGCCUUUCCCACAACAGCUCACUUCGGCCGUUGCCAUUGUUUCAAGUUCAGACCCUUUCCAACUCACUCCCAUGGCUUACUUUAAUAAAAACCAAAACAAAACAAAGAAAACAAAAGAUACCUCACCACAGUUGCCCCAACCUAUUUCCACUAAACCUAAAAUAUAUCUGCACCUUCCCUCCUACCCACCUCCUCAUUUCCCAACUCAAACCACAUUCUCUCCCCUGAAGCUAACCUCUAUAUCCAGCUCCUAUUUCCAUUCCCCCCUCCAUCUGCUAAGCUUUUCUGCACCAAGGUCCUCUAGGUUAAGGUCUAAGAGGUUCACAGACCACAAAGAGGCAAUUAAAAUACCAGAGCUAGGAGGUCCUCAAAGUGGUUUGCCCAGGUCUGGCACUUAACUCAUACCUGA